RNAcentral lists this ribosomal RNA (569 nucleotides) under uncultured bacterium. RNAcentral describes it as "partial 16S ribosomal RNA". It matches the Rfam family "Bacterial small subunit ribosomal RNA", at positions 355 to 914 of the family's 1533-position model. The record is from RNAcentral.
UGGGGAAUAUUGGACAAUGGGCGCAAGCCUGAUCCAGCAAUGCCGCGUGUGUGAAGAAGGCCUUCGGGUUGUAAAGCACUUUUAUCAGGAGCGAAACGCUGUCGGCUAAUACCCGGCGGAACUGACGGUACCUGAGGAAUAAGCACCGGCUAACUUCGUGCCAGCAGCCGCGGUAAUACGAAGGGUGCAAGCGUUAAUCGGAAUUACUGGGCGUAAAGCGUGCGUAGGCGGUUUCUUAAGUCUGCUGUGAAAUCCCCGGGCUCAACCUGGGAAUGGCAGUGGAUACUGGGAGGCUAGAGUGUGUCAGAGGGUGGUGGAAUUCCCGGUGUAGCGGUGAAAUGCGUAGAGAUCGGGAGGAACAUCAGUGGCGAAGGCGGCCACCUGGGACAACACUGACGCUGAGGCACGAAAGCGUGGGGAGCAAACAGGAUUAGAUACCCUGGUAGUCCACGCCCUAAAGCGAUGCGAACUGGAUGUUGGUCUCAACUCGGAGAUCAGUGUCGAAGCUAACGCGUUAAGUUCGCCGCCUGGGGAGUACGGUCGCAAGACUGAAACUCAAAGGAAUUGAC